RNAcentral lists this unclassified non-coding RNA (253 nucleotides) under uncultured Gammaproteobacteria bacterium. RNAcentral describes it as "contains 16S-23S intergenic spacer region". It matches the Rfam family "Bacterial small subunit ribosomal RNA", at positions 524 to 776 of the family's 1533-position model. The record is from RNAcentral. Lineage: Bacteria; Pseudomonadati; Pseudomonadota; Gammaproteobacteria.
UACGGAGGGUGCGAGCGUUAAUCGGAAUUACUGGGCGUAAAGCGCGCGUAGGCGGUCUGGUAAGUCGGGUGUGAAAGCCCCGGGCUCAACCUGGGAAUUGCAUUCGAUACUGCCGGACUAGAGUAUGGUAGAGGGAAGUGGAAUUCCGCAUGUAGCGGUGAAAUGCAUAGAGAUGCGGAGGAACACCAGUGGCGAAGGCGACUUUCUGGACCAAUACUGACGCUGAGGUGCGAAAGCGUGGGGAGCAAACAGG